UUUGAUUGAACUUAGUAGAGUAGGUAGUGCGGCACCGGCAUUUAUGGGAGGUAGACGUGUACCUCUUCAGCACUCAAAUGCACGUAAAUACGAUGUUUUUUUUCUGAUAAAACAUAAAUAAAGCCGUGACAGCGUUCUCGUAUCGACGUGGUUUCGUGAUAACUCGAGUUAAGUGUUGUGUUGCUGAUUAAAGAUGAGGAUUACGAAUCAACACGCCACUGAAAGUAAUGCAUUACGGAAGACUAUUCAGUUAUAGAAAUCACGAUUGAAUACGAACGAACGAAUUCCUAUUAAAAAAAACGGCUUCUAACAACGUUAUAAUGUGUUCAACUGUUGAUAUUAAGUGAUAUUAACGGUCUAAAACUUUAUACGCUAUUUAGCUAAUAACGGUUAUUUUUAAUCAGCUAAUAACAGUUAUUGUCAACCUGCUAAUAACGUUAUGUUAAAAAAGCAGCUACAAGUUUAGAGCGAGACAGAGCUACGUUCCAGAAAUAGUGUGUUCGAAAAUAGAGGAAAAAUGUCGAGCUCACAGUCAGUGAGGGACAGUGAGGCGGCGGGGAGUAACGCCGCUCGAUGGUGGCAGACACCAUGGAAAGCCAUGGCUGACUUAGCCGAAGCAGUUGACGACCUUAUAUGCAGCUUCGACUAUAUGGACACAGCCAUGGACAACUUAGUGAUGUUGAUAUUCAUAUGGGUAUUAUUCUCAAUCGUGCUCCUGGGUAUAGCGAAAUGGGCGUACAGCAAGUUCAGCCAGAAACCAGCGGAGGUGGAGGCGAAACCGUUGAAAACGAACGACGAGAAGAAGACAGCGAACGAAAUAAUCACCAGUGCUGAUAGUGUGCUGGCGACCAGUGCUAAAGUUAAAAGUGGUGCGUUCAAACCCAGUAAGCCGAGUGGCUUCGUGCCCGCCACUCCGCCGAACAAGAAGCGGCUAGGCCGUAUGUCCCCCGGUCCUGAGCAGUUGAAUUUAAAAAAACACCAAAGCAUCAUAGUGCCGACGUGCACGGGCCCAGACCCGCCGAGUGUGCAAUGGGUUAAUGAACUAUUAACGUGGUUAUAUAAUGAUCUUGUUAUUGUGAAUGAGCUUGUGCAGCAAUGGAUUGUGUCCAUGAACGAGUUUUCCAAGAAGUCCGUUGAAGAGCAAGGUAUCGGAGUGGAGUUGGUGCGAGCCCUCGACUCCCACCCGCCCACCAUUUCCAACGUCUUCUGCGAGUGUGACUCCAGAGAUGAUGUGACGAUCACGUGUGACUGCGAAGCCACGCCUGCCUUUCAGCUGAAGGCCUUCAGCCAACGCGGCGAGAAAGUGGAAGUGUCUCAUUACAGGGUCAACGUUAACAAAUUCCGCGCUCGCCUGAAUGUGGUGUGCGUGACCGACAAACUGACAGGCGAGCUCAAGUGCGACGGGUGGCCGGAAGUGAAGGUCGCUUUAGCCCCUGUCGGACCUCUGAGGCCUAACGCCACCGAGAGUAACUUACAACAACUAGUCAGUGACAUAGUGGUGAGUGCCCUCCGCAACAUACACUUAGAGUUCAAUUUGGCGCAAUACCCGACGUGUCCCAGGCUCAGGAGGUACGUGGACACCGCUCCACGGUUGCCCCUUCAUUAUGACUCCAUGCUACAGCACGACCGGCAAAUGUACACAUCGACACCCAACUCGACGGCCGGCAGCGUGCAACUCUUGGGCGACAAACGGUUGCUUGUCAAAGUCGUCAGUGCUAAGGACUUGGGAGGUAAAUCUGGCUGCAUCGCGCCAUACUGCGUGGUGGAGAUGGACGAGCCGCCGCAGAAGAAUCAGACGGCCUUCAAGAAGGACACCACCAGCCCGCAGUGGGAGGAACACUUCCUAUUUGAUUUAUCACCGCAAACAGCAGAGCUUCUGUUCGAAGUAUACGACCGCACCGGGCCCCCGUCGCCAGGGGGCGGCUCUGCGCAACACAGGUUCCUAGGUCUCGGCUUGGUGGGCAUCGAUGAAUUGCUCGCGGCACCUUCACAGCGGCAGCAGAUAGCUCUGCAGACCAGGCCGAUGGAGGAGCACGACAUCUCUGGUACACUCACGGUUGAGUUUCUAUUCAUCGAAGGCGCUGACAUCCCGGAUUUGGGCUCCAGACCAGUCAAGAUCAAGGAAAGCCUCCGCACCGUCUCGCCUCAAGGUCACCUCACCACUACCACCAAGACCAUAUUCAAACAGAAUGGUCAUGACAGUUCCCAACUCACCGAGUCGGCUUUAAGAGAACUAGAACUGAGCCCAGCCAACGCCGCAAACAAGUCAACUCUCAUCAUCCACUCUGUCCAAAGGGAACCGAAGAAAUCUAUAAAGGUUGAACUAACUGAUUCCGGAAAAUUCGUCGAAGUAGAACGCGAGGACUCGCAAGCGACAGCGGCCAGUGUCACAGACAAUACAGAGAGUGACAUAGACAAAUCUCUGCCGGCUAGUCCUAACAUGUCGCCCGCUAAAAGUGUUAGAAUCAAAGAAAACGGUUCUAAAGUUAACGGCAACAAAGACACGCAAGGCGACUACGUGAAUAAACCCAAUGAGAACGUUCCACCUGAACCCGCGCCGCGGAAGAAACGGCGAGACUUCUUCGGAACAAUCAAAAGAAGGCUCGGCCGGUCGCGGACCCGUGGUCAGUCAUUAGAUCUUCAAGAUUCAGAAAGCGAUAAUCCUAACCACAUUCGUAGCGUCAGCGCGGAAAGAAAUAGCCACGAUAAAGCCCUAACCCUCCCGAAUAGAAACGUUUACUCUGCCGGAGCGUCGCCUGCGCAGUCUGGAGACGAAUCUAGAACUUCUAGGAGGUCCUCUCUCAGCGAGGUAUCCGGAUUCAGCACAGCCUCCGCAAGGACCUUCAUCCAUGAAGCAUCCACGCUAGUCCUAGAAACAAUCGAGGCAGGCAUCAAGAAACACUAUUUAGUGCCCCUCACUGUCGCCCAGCGGUCCAGAUGGAGACGGAAGGGCGUCAAACUACAUAUUUAUAAUGAGCAUACAUUUAUCGCUAGACAUCUUAGCGGUGGAACAGUAUGCGAAGUGUGUAACAAGACGAUAGCGCGGCGGCUCGGCAAGCAAGGCUACGAGUGCCGCGACUGUCAACUCAAAUGCCACAAACACUGCCACAUCAAGGUGCCCGGGACUUGUCCGCGCUCUACCGUGCACAAUAUGGAGCUGUCCCAUUCCCAUAGCUUUGGAAAUGGAAGAUCCAUGCUCCCAGUGUUAAAUGAAUAGUCAAGCUAAUCGAGAAGACUGCAAGAAAAAUAUUAAAAAAAAAAACAAAACAAAAAAAAAUAUACAAGAAAUUUCCAGGUUCUUUAAAAAUAUUAAAGACAUACAUCCAAUCACCAUACGCGGACAAGAAUAUAAGAAUGUUGUGACUGUAAACACAAGGCGCUUAAGUAUGCACAAAGCUAUAAUUUUCAUUAGUUAUUGAAAUAAUCUGUACCACAAAAUCUCUCUAAGUACAACAAACACUAUUAUGUACGCUAUAUUAUAUAAUAAUAGGCUUUUCUACGAAUAUAUUUAUAAUUAUUAAUAUAAUGAAAGUUUAAUACUAGUUUAUAAGGAGAUGUAGAGGUUCUAAAACUUGUUGCUGGAAUUAAAAAAAAAAAGAAACAUUUUAAAAUAAUAUCGUUCCCCGCUUUUCACCAAUUGGCGAAAUUAGGGUUAGUUUAGAUAUCGCUAGAGCCCACCACUUAAACCAUUCUUUUCUAUUACCAUAGAAUUUUGGUGAAUAAAUCUUAGGCACGCUUGUACCAACCAAAACGAAAAUACCGAGGAUUUUUUUUUUCAUCUCUACCUCAUUUUCUCAAAAACAAUAUACCUGAUAUGUUAAAGUUACCAACCGUUCACUUACAAGUUUUGUUAAUAUAUUUUGUUGAAUAAUUAAUUAUUAUAUAUGUCGGACUAAAUAAUUAAACAAUAUAUUUAUUUUAGUUACUUAAGUGCUUUUGCACAUUGUGAUCUGGCAUAAUGUAACGUGCAAUACUUAAAACCUACUUACAUGUGUAUUAGUGCUUGGAGCUUCGAAGUUAAAUAUUUAAGAGAAAAUUCUUGGCCAUACAAAAUAAUUACCUUAAUGUCAAUCCACUGUGCAAAGAUGUGUUUUUUAUUAAGGUGUCACCUUAAACGGAUGUGAUUAAAGUUGUUUUUUUCUAUAAUUCUCCAAUUUUAAGGAUAGAACAUAGAUGGGUUAUGUUAUAAGCUGUCACUGUUAAAAAUAUUUCUAACUUUAGUGAUACUCACAUGUCAGAAUUGCCCGCAAUGUUUCUUUAAUAACAAAUAAAUAAAUAAAUUUUAAUACAAACAGAUAUUGGGGCGUAUUUGUAAAGUCCAUAUUUUUUUUUUUUAUUAAUUUCAAGAGAACAUGUUCGUUUAAGGUGUCAGUUUGACGUGUGAUUGACAUAAUUCGAAACUAAAAUGUAUGAUACAAAUGUUUUGUAUGAUUACAUUUCGCUCUCUCCAUAAAUUCGUAUUGUUACAUUAAAACUCCAACGAUUAAAUUACGAAAAUCAUAUUUUUAAAGUCGCCAUAUUUAUUUUAUGCUGUCAUCUUAUCUAAGGGAAUUACUACCCUGUAUUAACCUGGCAAUACAAAUAAGGAAUCUAAGGUCAAAAUCAAAGACACAUUACCUGAAAGAACCGGAUAUACCACUAGAAAACAUUACUCUCUUUUCGAAGAGAACCGGGUAAAAACAACGCAACAAAAUCAACUUUUUAAGCAACUUCAAAAUGGAAGUCUAUUUUUUUGUAUGUUACGCGAAAUCAUGUUCAAUUUUGAACUGAUUUCGAUAUUACUUAUUAGUGCUUAAAUUAAAAAAAUCUAAAAUUUAAAAAGCACAAAUUCAUUUGUACAAAAAUGUCGAUUUAAAAGUGCUUGUAAACAAGUAUUUUUGAAUGCAGAUGAUGAUAUGAAUUUUAAUUAGUCGCUGUUUUUUAAAUGAACUGUUAAACCUUUAUUAAUAAAAACUAAAAAGUUCUAUAAACCUAUUUUAACUAUUACGUUGUUUUGUCACUGUCUUUCGAAUUAAAAAGUCAGUGCGAAAGAUAAGGACAGAAUAUUCAAUAGCUAAAACAUGUUUACGAGAGUUUUGACGUCUUUUAUAAAUAAAGGGAUUAAAUUAUUGCAUAAAUAAUAAACAAGAUACAAUGAAUUACUUACAGGUUAGUAAACACAGUCACGGCUUGUCAUUUUCAAUGAAUUGUUUCAAAAUUAAAUCGUGAAUGUCAAACAAAAUGUUUGUAGCAUUAUUAUAAAUGUUAUUCAGACAGCGAUGUUCAAUAUAUAUAAAUAUUAUAUGACAAAAAAAAAAUGUAUUUGUACUCUUUUAUUAAGAUUGUUAACGCAUAAUGUUUUAUGUGGUUCCGUAUAAAUAUUAUUAUUAAUUUAUAAAUGUUGCGCAAUGUUUUUGUCUGUAAUUUUAUUUUUUCCUUUUUUUUUAAAAUAAAAUGCCUUUUUAAUA
Galleria mellonella (greater wax moth) is the source of this 5447-nucleotide RNA transcript. It is a transcript of the gene named phospholipid transfer protein C2CD2L, with no coding region annotated. The record is from RefSeq and is a predicted model, not a curated record. Lineage: Eukaryota; Metazoa; Arthropoda; Insecta; Lepidoptera; Pyralidae. The transcript has 22 exons.